AACCCUGUCCUUAGUUACCAGCACGUUAUGGUGGGCGACUCUAAGGAGACUGCCGGUGACAAACCGGAGGAAGGUGGGGAGUGACGUCAAGUCAUCAUGGCCCUUACGGCCUGGGCUACACACGUGCUACAAUGGUCGGUACAAAGGGUUGCCAAGCCGCGAGGUGGAGCUAAUCCCAUAAAACCGAUCGUAGUCCGGAUCGCAGUCUGCAACUCGACUGCGUGAAGUCGGAAUCGCUAGUAAUCGUGAAUCAGAAUGUCACGGUGAAUACGUUCCCGGGCCUU
RNAcentral lists this ribosomal RNA (284 nucleotides) under uncultured Pseudomonas sp. RNAcentral describes it as "partial 16S ribosomal RNA". It matches the Rfam family "Bacterial small subunit ribosomal RNA", at positions 1101 to 1382 of the family's 1533-position model. Lineage: Bacteria; Pseudomonadati; Pseudomonadota; Gammaproteobacteria; Pseudomonadales; Pseudomonadaceae. The record is from RNAcentral.